RNAcentral lists this ribosomal RNA (318 nucleotides) under Triticum aestivum (bread wheat). Its description in RNAcentral is "partial small subunit ribosomal RNA". The record is from RNAcentral. Lineage: Eukaryota; Viridiplantae; Streptophyta; Magnoliopsida; Poales; Poaceae.
AUGGUGACGACGAUGGGGCACGUGGUGGCGCUCCUCUCCGCUGCCCUCUCCGGCGGCGUGGUCGGCUGCAGUCGCCACGACGACCACUACCACUCGGGCGGCUGCUGCGUGUGCAUAUCAAGGUUCCGCGACGGGGAGGACAUACGCAGCCUGCCGUGCGGCCACGCCUUCCACCGGCAAUGCGUCGACAGGUGGUUGGCGCUGUGCCGCCGGACCUGCCCGCUCUGCCGCCUGCACGUCGGCGGCGUGACAGAUGAGCACCAGCUCAGCGACGACCUCGUCAUCUGGUUCUCUUCUCUCUUCGUCGCCGGCUUGUAG